GACUGCCGCAGUCAGAGUCCUACCGCCUUCUGAGCUCUGACGCUUUCCUGUCUGUGCUCCCUGCUAAUCAACUCACCAGCAUGAAGGUCUUGGCGCUGCUGUUACUGGUGGCAGUUUCCACCUUCCUGGUCUCGGGCGAGAAUACAACAGAUGCUUCCUCUGAUAGCUCUACUGCUGCCUCUGAUGCCACCAAUGCCGGUGCCACCACUGCUGCAACCACCACUGCCACCCGUACUCCAUUUAACCUUUUAAAGAACCUCAUCGAAUACCUCAAGCGCUUAAGGGGUUGAAAUAUUACUAAGAUGGAAUUAGCCUGGGACUUCUGCAUUUGAUCCUGCUGGACUCAACCACAAUGUCCAUUGAUUUGAUUUAAUUCAACUACUUACCACAU
Long non-coding RNA from Ailuropoda melanoleuca (giant panda), 391 nucleotides. RefSeq lists it as uncharacterized. NCBI's taxonomy places the organism in Eukaryota, Metazoa, Chordata, Mammalia, Carnivora, Ursidae. The record is from RefSeq and is a predicted model, not a curated record. The transcript is spliced from 4 exons.